RNAcentral lists this ribosomal RNA (486 nucleotides) under uncultured bacterium. RNAcentral describes it as "partial 16S ribosomal RNA". It matches the Rfam family "Bacterial small subunit ribosomal RNA", at positions 30 to 507 of the family's 1533-position model. The record is from RNAcentral.
AUUGAACGCUGGCGGCAUGCCUUACACAUGCAAGUCGAACGGCAGCACGGGUGCUUGCACCUGGUGGCGGGUGGCGAACGGGUGAGUAAUACAUCGGAACAUGUCCUGUAGUGGGGGAUAGCCCGGCGAAAGCCGGAUUAAUACCGCAUACGAUCUACGGAUGAAAGCGGGGGACCUUCGGGCCUCGCGCUAUAGGGUUGGCCGAUGGCUGAUUAGCUAGUUGGUGGGGUAAAGGCCUACCAAGGCGACGCUCAGUAGCUGGUCUGAGAGGACGACCAGCCACACUGGGACUGAGACACGGCCCAGACUCCUACGGGAGGCAGCAGUGGGGAAUUUUGGACAAUGGGCGAAAGCCUGAUCCAGCAAUGCCGCGUGUGUGAAGAAGGCCUUCGGGUUGUAAAGCACUUUUGUCCGGAAAGAAAUCCUUGGCCCUAAUACGGUCGGGGGAUGACGGUACCGGAAGAAUAAGCACCGGCUAACUACGUG